UACCGUGGUGGCAUGCCUUACUCUGCAGUCGAACGGCAGCAUGAUCUAGCUUGCUAGAUUGAUGGCGAGUGGCGAACGGGUGAGUAAUACAUCGGAACGUGCCCUGUAGUGGGGGAUAACUAGUCGAAAGAUUAGCUAAUACCGCAUACGACCUGAGGGUGAAAGUGGGGGACCGCAAGGCCUCAUGCUAUAGGAGCGGCCGAUGUCUGAUUAGCUAGUUGGUGGGGUAAAGGCCCACCAAGGCGACGAUCAGUAGCUGGUCUGAGAGGACGAUCAGCCACACCGGGACUGAGACACGGCCCAGACUCCUACGGGAGGCAGCAGUGGGGAAUUUUGGACAAUGGGCGAAAGCCUGAUCCAGCAAUGCCGCGUGUGUGAAGAAGGCCUUCGGGUUGUAAAGCACUUUUGUCCGGAAAGAAAUGGCUCUGGUUAAUACCUGGGGUCGAUGACGGUACCGGAAGAAUAAGGACCGGCUAACUACGUGCCAGCAGCCGCGGUAAUACGUAGGGUCCAAGCGUUAAUCGGAAUUACUGGGCGUAAAGCGUGCGCAGGCGGUUGUGCAAGGCCGAUGUGAAAUCCCCGAGCUUAACUUGGGAAUUGCAUUGGUGACUGCACGGCUAGAGUGUGUUAGAGGGGGGUAGAAUUCCACGUGUAGCAGUGAAAUGCGUAGAGAUGUGGAGGAAUACCGAUGGCGAAGGCAGCCCCCUGGGAUAACACUGACGCUCAUGCACGAAAGCGUGGGGAGCAAACAGGAUUAGAUACCCUGG
Molecule: ribosomal RNA, 767 nt
Filed under: uncultured bacterium
Lineage: Bacteria
Description: bacterial SSU rRNA
Rfam family: Bacterial small subunit ribosomal RNA
Source: RNAcentral